CACUGGUCCCCUCAAAAGCCCUGCUGAUUUUUUUCUAGAGAUGAGAAAUCUGGGUUUGGAGAACAGUGUGUCCUGGCCACACGGGCCAGUGAACCCGCCCACGAUACCCCUGCCUGUUCGUGGACGGGCUGGCCUCCCUGACGACGAACCCUGCCUCCAGGGGCACAGUUCAACCUGAGCCCCUGGGUUGCAGCCCUCCAUGCUACCCCGCCCCCGCCGCCCACUUUAAGGGGGGCAUAACCAGUGACCCACAAAAGGAUGGCAGUGCCUGGUCUUGUGCCUUGCGCUUGCCAGAAUCUUCUUCCUGACAGCUCUGAGCCCUACAGGGACCAGCGUCCUUACAGCAGGCAGGGCGUUGCUGAGAUCUACAGGCCUCCGGAGGCCCUCCCUGCCUCUCACCUCACGCCGGAUGGAGGUUACUACUUGGCCAAACGAAGCAUUGACAGCUCAUAG
This 453-nucleotide long non-coding RNA is filed under the name Sus scrofa (pig). Its description in RNAcentral is "lncRNA (ENSSSCG00070009672.1)". The record is from RNAcentral. Lineage: Eukaryota; Metazoa; Chordata; Mammalia; Artiodactyla; Suidae.